GAGUUUGAUCCUGGUUCAGAUUGAACGCUGGCGGGGAGCUUUACACAUGCAAGUCGGACGGCAGCACGGACUUCGGUCUGGUGGCGAGUGGCGAAACGGGUGAGUAAUGUAUCGGAACGUGCCUAGUAGCGGGGGAUAACUACGAGAAAAAAUGAAAAAAAACCGCAUACGCCCUACGGGGGAAAGCGGGGGGACCUUCGGGCCUCGCACUAUUAGAGCGGCCGAUAUCGGAUUAGCUAGUUGGUGGGGUAACGGCUCACCAAGGCGACGAUCCGUAGCUGGUUUGAGAGGACGACCAGCCACACUGGGACUGAGACACGGCCCAGACUCCUACGGGAGGCAGCAGUGGGGAAUUAUGGACAAUGGGGGCAACCCUGAUCCAGCCAUCCCGCGUGUGCGAUG
Molecule: ribosomal RNA, 402 nt
Filed under: uncultured Bordetella sp.
Lineage: Bacteria; Pseudomonadati; Pseudomonadota; Betaproteobacteria; Burkholderiales; Alcaligenaceae
Description: partial 16S ribosomal RNA
Rfam family: Bacterial small subunit ribosomal RNA
Source: RNAcentral